This 862-nucleotide ribosomal RNA is filed under the name uncultured bacterium. Its description in RNAcentral is "bacterial SSU rRNA". It matches the Rfam family "Bacterial small subunit ribosomal RNA", at positions 28 to 886 of the family's 1533-position model. The record is from RNAcentral.
GAUGAACGCUAGCGGGAGGCUUAACACAUGCAAGUCGAGGGGCAGCACAAGGUAGCAAUACUUUGGUGGCGACCGGCGCACGGGUGAGUAACGCGUAUGCAACCUACCCUGUACAGGGGGAUAGCCCGGAGAAAUUCGGAUUAAUACCCCAUAAAGAUAUCUGGAGGCAUCUUUAGAUAUUUAAAGUUUCGGCGGUACGGGAUGGGCAUGCGUAACAUUAGCUAGUUGGUAGGGUAACGGCCUACCAAGGCAACGAUGUUUAGGGGUCCUGAGAGGGUGAUCCCCCACACUGGUACUGAGACACGGACCAGACUCCUACGGGAGGCAGCAGUGAGGAAUAUUGGUCAAUGGACGGAAGUCUGAACCAGCCAUCCCGCGUGCAGGAAGAAGGCGCUAUGCGUUGUAAACUGCUUUUCCAGGGGAAGAAAACCUGCUACGUGUAGUGGUUUGCCGGUACCCUGGGAAUAAGCAUCGGCUAACUCCGUGCCAGCAGCCGCGGUAAUACGGAGGAUGCGAGCGUUAUCCGGAUUUAUUGGGUUUAAAGGGUGCGUAGGCGGACCGAUAAGUCAGUGGUGAAAACCUGCAGCUUAACUGUAGAACUGCCAUUGAUACUGUCGGACUAGAGUGUGGUCAAGGUAGGCGGAAUGUGUAAUGUAGCGGUGAAAUGCUUAGAUAUUACACAGAACACCGAUUGCGAAGGCAGCUUGCUGGACCAUUACUGACGCUGAUGCACGAAAGCGUGGGGAGCAAACAGGAUUAGAUACCCUGGUAGUCCACGCCGUAAACGAUGAUCACUCGCUGUUGGCGAUACACAGUCAGCGGCUAAGCAAAAGCAUUAAGUGAUCCACCUGGGGAGUACGUG